This 463-nucleotide ribosomal RNA is filed under the name Vreelandella stevensii. RNAcentral's name for it is "partial 16S ribosomal RNA". It matches the Rfam family "Bacterial small subunit ribosomal RNA", at positions 338 to 795 of the family's 1533-position model. Lineage: Bacteria; Pseudomonadati; Pseudomonadota; Gammaproteobacteria; Oceanospirillales; Halomonadaceae. The record is from RNAcentral.
CCUACGGGUCGCAGCAGUGGGGAAUAUUGGACAAUGGGCGAAAGCCUGAUCCAGCCAUGCCGCGUGUGUGAAGAAGGCCUUCGGGUUGUAAAGCACUUUCAGUGGGGAAGAAAGCCUUGGGGCUAAUACCCUCGAGGAAGGCCAUCACCCACAGAAGAAGCACCGGCUAACUCCGUGCCCGCAGCGCGGUAAUACGGAGGGUGCGAGCGUUAAUCGGAAUUACUGGGCGUAAAGCGCGCGUAGGCGGUUGAUAAGCCGGUUGUGAAAGCCCCGGGCUCAACCUGGGAACGGCAUCCGGAACUGUCAGGCUAGAGUGCAGGAGAGGAAGGUAGAAUUCCCGGUGUAGAGGUGAAAUGCGUAGAGAUCGGGAGGAAUACCAGUGGCGAAGGCGGCCUUCUGGACUGACACUGACGCUGAGGUGCGAAAGCGUGGGUAGCAAACAGGAUUAGAUACCCCAGUAGUC